RNAcentral lists this long non-coding RNA (715 nucleotides) under Trifolium pratense (red clover). RNAcentral's name for it is "long non-coding RNA (TPRA_LNC010660)". Lineage: Eukaryota; Viridiplantae; Streptophyta; Magnoliopsida; Fabales; Fabaceae. The record is from RNAcentral.
CUGUCUUCUUUGUUACAAACUCCAUCAGGAUGAAUCUUUACAUGACAUGAUGAAGCUCCCUUAUUACCGCGUUGAACGGGGACUAUAUAUAUAAUUAUUUUGAGCUAAAGGUAGACAAUAAGAAUGUCUACGAAUGCCAACUUAGUUGGAAGGUCUGUUCAUUCCUUGAUAUCUAGAUGCUAUUAGUUUAUCUAAAAUAAAUUGCUAAUAUAAUUCAUUUUGUAACAAUUGAUAAUAGAUAAUUUUACCGGUAUAUCGCACAAAGUAUCAUACUAGUGUAUUUUUCUAUGACAGACAGUACCAUAUUAGGGUAUGUUUGUUUCAAAUUUUUUAUCAAAAAAAUAUAUUUUUCCUAAAAAAAAAUCUAUUUUUUUAUCUUACUUGUGUUUGUUUCAUAUUUUUUUCAAAAAUCAUUUUCAGUAAAAAAAAUCAUUUUUUGUCAAAAUCCAUUUUUUAUCACUCAUCAUCCCUCACCAUCUUAAAAAAAUAAAAAAGAUUUUUAUGAUUGUAAACAAACGAUAAAUAGCUUUAGAUUUUCUUCAAGAAAAUCUAUUUUCUUGAAAAUGAUUUUUUUCAAAAAAAAUCAUUUUUUUAAAAUCUCAAACAAACAGGCUCUUAAUUCUUUUCCUCAACGAUCUCUUGGAGCUUCUUGCAGAAUCUGAAUCUGUUUUGAAUCCACCAAGCCAAUUAGCCCAUUUUUCAUCCAAAACAGAAU